Molecule: ribosomal RNA, 514 nt
Filed under: uncultured Glomus
Lineage: Eukaryota; Fungi; Glomeromycota; Glomeromycetes; Glomerales; Glomeraceae
Description: SSU rRNA
Rfam family: Eukaryotic small subunit ribosomal RNA
Source: RNAcentral
AGCAGCCGCGGUAAUUCCAGCUCCAAUAGCGUAUAUUAAAGUUGUUGCAGUUAAAAAGCUCGUAGUUGAAUUUCGGGAUCAGUUCGCUGGUCGUGCCUCUGGUAUGUACUGGUGUUACUGGUUCCUCCCUUCUGACGAACUGUCAUGUCAUUUAUUUGGUGUGGCAGGGAAUCAGGACUGUUACUUUAGAAAAAAUUAGAGUGUUUAAAGCAGGCUCGCGCUUGAAUACAUUAGCAUGGAACAAUGAAAUAGGACGUUCGAUCCUAUUUUGUUGGUUUCUAGGAUUGACGUAAUGAUUAAUAGGGAUAGUUGGGGGCAUUAGUAUUCAAUUGUCAGAGGUGAAAUUCUUGGAUUUAUUGAAGACUAACUACUGCGAAAGCAUUUGCCAAGGAUGUUUUCAUUAAUCAAGAACGAAAGUUAGGGGAUCGAAGACGAUCAGAUACCGCCGUAGUCUUAACCAUAAACUAUGCCGACUAGGGAUCGGAUGAUGUUAUUUUUAAUGACCAUUCGGCCG